GGUCCGUUGGUCAAGGGGUUAAGACACCGCCUUUUCACGGCGGUAACCCGGGUUCGAAUCCCGUACGGACUA
RNAcentral lists this transfer RNA (72 nucleotides) under Streptococcus pneumoniae. RNAcentral describes it as "tRNA-Glu(ttc)". It matches the Rfam family "tRNA". From Rfam's summary of the family: Transfer RNA (tRNA) molecules are approximately 80 nucleotides in length. Their secondary structure includes four short double-helical elements and three loops (D, anti-codon, and T loops). The record is from RNAcentral. Lineage: Bacteria; Bacillati; Bacillota; Bacilli; Lactobacillales; Streptococcaceae.